AUAUUAAGCUAACACCCUCUCCUCUUUCCAAUAACAUAACUACUACUAUUACUACUACGAUCGGGAGCGACGGAACCCACUGGGUUGGUUUAGAAAAAGCCGAAUCAUACCAAACCGGCUGAUUCGAGAUGUCUACCGGAUUGGAUGACUACCAGCACAAUCUAAAUCAUACAUUCUCUUUUUCUUUCUUUCUCUCUCCUUCCCUCUCUUUCGCUUUUUCUUCCCCUUGUUAUUUCUAAAUAGGGAAGUUUCGAACUUUUUUUUCUUAAAUUUUCAAUUUUUAAAUUAAAUUUGACACAUCCUUUGCUAAUUUUAGUUCGAGAAUUGAAAAUUUAAGAAAAAUAAAAAGGCUAAAAUACCUUGCAUGGACCUCGGCACCGGUUCCAGAAACAAAGGGUUAGCCUUUAAGUAGUCCUGCGUACAUGCAGUAGAAACUGGGAAUAAUCACACUGCUGCAGAACAAUCGAACCGUGUGAUAAUUCAUGGUAUAUCAUAGACUGGGACUUAGGCCAUCAAUUGAUAUAUCGCCUCUUCCCCUCUGGUAGCGAUCGCGCUCUAUUGGGAGAAGACCGUUAGUCCAUUUAAAUUUGAGUUUCUCUUCUUCUUCUUCGCACCGAUGGCAACGGCUAAUUCCCUCUCGAAGGCAUUGGGCGCCGCCAUCCUCAAGUGGGUCUCACAUGGCCGCCGCCGAGCGUGCCAUCCUCAAGCGGGUCCCGUCGGUCGAUCUCGUCGUCGAGGUCCACGACGCCGGGGUACUUCUUCCGUUCCUUCUCUUUCUUCUCUUUUCCAUUCACCAAGUGUUUGGUGAAAUUCUUGGAUGAUCCUUGGCUUUUCUUUAAAUUUCUUUUUCUUCCUUAUCAAGUGAGUUAUGAUGCCGUUUCUGUUUAAGGGUACAAGAUUUAGUUGAUAUACUGAUAGAGUUCCCAUCCACCAGCUGUUGGGUGAAAUUCUUGGCCGAUCUUUGUCUCCUCUUUUAAAUUAUUUUCCUUUUCUUUCAGUGAAUUAUGACCGCUGUUGGUUAGAGUUGCAAGAUGCCAAAUGAUGAUUAGGGUUUGCUGAAAGAUGCGGCUUUUCUGCCAAGUUUUGAGCAAAGAUGUGGGGAUAAGAUUAGGGUUUCCGAAGCCUCGUGUUUUGGUUUGCUUUCAGAAGGGAUGGUAUCAUGUUUUGCUGUCGGCUUGCUGUCUUCGAUCUUGUUAUUUAUUUUGUUUUAUUUCUUUGUAAAGCGAGUUCAAACAGUAUAUAGGCUUCAUCAGGAUGGUUUUGUUGUAGUUUUGGUUUCUUGGGUUUUGGUGACAACGAGGGUUUUGUAGGGGGGAAAUAUUUGUUGGGUUAAACGAGGAGAUUAUAUGGAGAUAGAGGUGAAUUGGUAGGGAUUUACAUAUGAGGUUAAAAGUUUUACAUAAAGGUUCAGGGCAGAAAUGAAAUACAAAAGGUGGGAAAAAUUUAAGAAAGAAAAGCUAUUCAUACAAGGGACCAAAAUUUAGGUAUUCCAAUUCCCACGUUCAUUUCUAAAUUAGGUUUGAACUUUUUUUAUCAUAAGCAAAUACCCUUUUCAGCAGCUCUCGAGUCUCUGAGACAAAGAGCCUGUUCCUGUAGUCUUAACAAGGUUGAUCUUGCUGAUCGCUCUCUGACAGAAGUAUGCCAUUUUGGGUAUCCAAUUAACAUUAUUUUGGUUUUAUCAGUAAUGUAAGUCAUUCAUAUUAUCAUGAUUCUUUUCUUUUCCGGUGUGUAGUUUUUGCCUUGUUUUGACAUAACCUUAGUGGUAGAAUUGUCUCCAACGAUCUUUAUAAGAUUUCCCCUUAAGAAGAUUGUCUAUUCUCAUUUUCAUUUUUCAUUUCUUAAACAUGGACACUUACUUUGUAUAAAUGGGUGAAGCAUUUCAGAAACCAGAAGUAUACUUGCUGUGGAGUCAGUGCUCAUAACAAGGACAGCACCAAGAAGCUGUGAGCAUUGUACGAGCUAAGGUCAAGGAAGUAAAGGUUGUGACGAUACAUACAUUGCAACAGUGCGGUUGGCUGGGAUUCCAAAUGUUGGCAAGUCAGCCAUCACCAAUAUCAUGCGUCAAAUUGGCAGAAUAAGUGAUGCAGAAAAGGGAAAAUUGAAGCAUGCUGUAGUGAACCCAUAACCUUGGGAAACAGAGGAUUUUAACAGCUCCAAGGUACAUGGCUUCCGUUGGUUCAUACCGUUUUAUCAUCAUAUAUCCUAUAUUAAACAUCAUUUUUGUGUUUCAGUUAUUGAUGUCCAUGAAGAUACAAAGAUAAAACAGUGUUUUAGAUUCCUUUGUCCAAACUUUAAAUGCUGCUGAAUUCCAUGCUAUUACAUA
Phoenix dactylifera (date palm) is the source of this 2323-nucleotide non-coding RNA. Lineage: Eukaryota; Viridiplantae; Streptophyta; Magnoliopsida; Arecales; Arecaceae. The record is from RefSeq and is a predicted model, not a curated record.